RNAcentral lists this long non-coding RNA (876 nucleotides) under Medicago truncatula (barrel medic). RNAcentral's name for it is "lncRNA gene25467". Lineage: Eukaryota; Viridiplantae; Streptophyta; Magnoliopsida; Fabales; Fabaceae. The record is from RNAcentral.
GCACCAGCUGUAUAGGCUGCUAAGCACGUCACACCAAGUUGUUGUGCUGUAGAACAAUCCUCCUUUCUUCUAUGCAUAAUUUUUCUAUAUAUUAAGUCCACUGAAUGCUCAAAUGUUGAAAACAUGACCAUCGAGACUGGAAGAUUGCGGCUCCACAACGGAACAAGGCCCCUAUAGAAACCAGCAAGGCCUUCAUUUCUAUAUACUAACGGAAACCCAUCCACUAAACCCUUAGCAAAAUUACGUUGAAUUUGAACACGGAUCUUAACAGCUUCAAAAGGAGCUAAAGUAACAUCAGCUAAAAGCUGUGCAGACAAACCACUGAGAAAGAAUAUAGAAUUUCUAUUAAGCUUAAUCAAUGCACGAUCAUCGUCGGCGGCAUAGAAGUUUUUGAAAUACUCAUAAAGACCGUAUUUGAACCCUCCUUGAAUACCAUAUCCACAUAAUUUGCCAGACCAACCUCUCCAAAGAGCAUAAGAACCUUCCUCUUUCCAAAUGGUGGCAAUGCCGGAGAGAAUUCCAUUGUUCUUGUAUUUUUCUGGAUUGACUUGCAUGUUGACUUUGAGUACAUCGAGAGGUGUUAUAGCGAGAUGGGUGGCGCCGGAACUAAGCAUACCUCCGAUAAAGCAAAUUCCGUAAUAAUCAUAUUUCGACUUCGACAGAGGAGAAGGAGAAGGAGGAGAUGCUUUUCUUUCUUCAAUGUCUUUCAUUCUCUAAUUCUCUUCAAAGCAUUGCUCAACAACAAAAUAGAAUCGUCGAGUUCAAUUGGGCAUGUUAUGUGUUUGAUUGAUGAAAAGAUUUAAUAAAAAAGAGGGAAAUGAUGGAAUGGGAAGUUACUACCAUUUAAUGAGAAAUAUCAAGUGAUUAAAGCUGGAU